Molecule: ribosomal RNA, 352 nt
Filed under: uncultured bacterium
Lineage: Bacteria
Description: bacterial SSU rRNA
Rfam family: Bacterial small subunit ribosomal RNA
Source: RNAcentral
GGGGGAUGCGAGCGUUAUCCGGAUUCAUUGGGUUUAAAGGGUGCGUAGGCUGUGCGUCAAGUCGGGGGUGAAAUUCCGGUGCUCAACACCGGGGCUGCCCUUGAUACUGUCGCGCUGGAGUGCGGAUGCCGCCGGAGGAAUGAGUGGUGUAGCGGUGAAAUGCUUAGAUAUCACUCAGAACACCGAUUGCGAAGGCAUCUGGCGAAUCCGUAACUGACGCUGAGGCACGAAAGCGUGGGGAUAGAACAGGAUUAGAUACCCUGGUAUUCCACGCCGUAAACGAUGAUGGCUAACCGCCGGCGACACACUGUCGGUGGCCAAGCGAAAGCGAUAAGCCAUCCACCCGGGGAGU